GUUUGGUUAAGUUAGAAAGGGCGCACGGUGGAUGCCUUGACACUAGGAGUCGAUGAAGGACGGGACUAACGCCGAUAUGCUUCGGGGAGCUGUAAGUAAGCUUUGAUCCGAAGAUUUCCGAAUGGGGAAACCCACCAUACGUAAUGGUAUGGUAUCCUUAUCUGAAUACAUAGGGUAAGGAAGACAGACCCAGGGAACUGAAACAUCUAAGUACCUGGAGGAAGAGAAAGCAAAUGCGAUUUCCUGAGUAGCGGCGAGCGAAACGGAACAUAGCCCA
Molecule: ribosomal RNA, 277 nt
Filed under: Bacillus thuringiensis
Lineage: Bacteria; Bacillati; Bacillota; Bacilli; Caryophanales; Bacillaceae
Description: partial 23S ribosomal RNA
Rfam family: Bacterial large subunit ribosomal RNA
Source: RNAcentral